RNAcentral lists this ribosomal RNA (253 nucleotides) under uncultured bacterium. Its description in RNAcentral is "partial 16S ribosomal RNA". It matches the Rfam family "Bacterial small subunit ribosomal RNA", at positions 524 to 776 of the family's 1533-position model. The record is from RNAcentral.
UACGUAGGGUGCGAGCGUUGUCCGGAAUUAUUGGGCGUAAAGAGCUCGUAGGCGGCCUGUCGCGUCGGAUGUGAAAGCCCGGGGCUUAACCCCGGGUCUGCAUUCGAUACGGGCAGGCUAGAGUGUGGUAGGGGAGAUCGGAAUUCCUGGUGUAGCGGUGAAAUGCGCAGAUAUCAGGAGGAACACCGGUGGCGAAGGCGGAUCUCUGGGCCAUUACUGACGCUGAGGAGCGAAAGCGUGGGGAGCGAACGGG